RNAcentral lists this ribosomal RNA (983 nucleotides) under marine bacterium AK6_030. RNAcentral's name for it is "bacterial SSU rRNA". It matches the Rfam family "Bacterial small subunit ribosomal RNA", at positions 79 to 1065 of the family's 1533-position model. The record is from RNAcentral.
CUUAGAUUUAGUGAGAGUGGCGCACGGGUGCGUAACGCGUGAGCAACCUACCCAUAUCAGGGGGAUAGCCCGGAGAAAUCCGGAUUAACACCGCAUGACACAACGACUCGGCAUCGAGAUGUUGUUAAAUAUUUAUAGGAUAUGGAUGGGCUCGCGUGACAUUAGCUAGUUGGUAAGGUAACGGCUUACCAAGGCUACGAUGUCUAGGGGCUCUGAGAGGAGAAUCCCCCACACUGGUACUGAGACACGGACCAGACUCCUACGGGAGGCAGCAGUAAGGAAUAUUGGUCAAUGGAGGGAACUCUGAACCAGCCAUGCCGCGUGCAGGAUGACUGCCCUAUGGGUUGUAAACUGCUUUUGUCCAGGAAUAACCACCACUACGUGUAGUGGCUUGAAUGUACUGGAAGAAUAAGGAUCGGCUAACUCCGUGCCAGCAGCCGCGGUAAUACGGAGGAUCCGAGCGUUAUCCGGAUUUAUUGGGUUUAAAGGGUGCGUAGGCGGCUCAUUAAGUCAGGGGUGAAAGACGGCAGCUCAACUGUCGCAGUGCCUUUGAUACUGAUGAGCUUGAAUGUGGUUGAAGAUGGCGGAAUGAGACAAGUAGCGGUGAAAUGCAUAGAUAUGUCUCAGAACUCCGAUUGCGAAGGCAGCUGUCUAAGUCAUUAUUGACGCUGAUGCACGAAAGCGUGGGGAUCGAACAGGAUUAGAUACCCUGGUAGUCCACGCCCUAAACGAUGAUAACUCGAUGUUGGCGAUACACAGUCAGCGUCUUAGCGAAAGCGUUAAGUUAUCCACCUGGGGAGUACGCCCGCAAGGGUGAAACUCAAAGGAAUUGACGGGGGCCCGCACAAGCGGAGGAGCAUGUGGUUUAAUUCGAUGAUACGCGAGGAACCUUACCCGGGCUUGAAAGUUACUGAAUUAUCUAGAGAUAGAUAAGUCCUUCGGGACAGGAAACUAGGUGCUGCAUGGCUGUCGUCAGCUCGUGC